Molecule: ribosomal RNA, 497 nt
Filed under: uncultured bacterium
Lineage: Bacteria
Description: partial 16S ribosomal RNA
Rfam family: Bacterial small subunit ribosomal RNA
Source: RNAcentral
GAUGAACGCUGGCGGCGUGCCUAAUACAUGCAAGUCGAGCGAACAGACGAGGCGCUUGCUCCUCUGACGUUAGCGGCGGACGGGUGUGUAACACGUGGAUAACCUACCUAUAAGACUGGGAUAACUUCGGGAAACCGGCGCUUAUACCGGAUAAUAUAUUGAACCGCAUGGUUCAAUAGUGAAAGACGGUUUUGCUGUCACUUAUAGAUGGAUCCGCGCCGCAUUAGCUAGUUGGUAAGGUAACGGGUUACGAAGGGUAGGAUGCGCAGCCGACCUGAUGGGGUGAUCGGCCACACUGGAACUUAGACACGGACCAGACGCCUACGGGAGGCAGCAGUAGGGAAUCUGCCGCAAAGGGCGAAAGCAUUACGGAGCAACGCCGCGUGAGUUAUGAAGGUCUUCGGAUCGUAAAACUCUGUUAUUAGGGAAGAACAAAUGUGUAAGUAACUAUGCACGUCUUGACGGUACCUAAUCAGAAAGCCACGGCUAACUACGUG